AGUGAACGCUGGCGGUAGGCCUAACACAUGCAAGUCGAACGGCAGCACAGUAAGAGCUUGCUCUUACGGGUGGCGAGUGGCGGACGGGUGAGGAAUACAUCGGAAUCUACUUUUUCGUGGGGGAUAACGUAGGGAAACUUACGCUAAUACCGCAUACGACCUACGGGUGAAAGCAGGGGAUCUUCGGACCUUGCGCGAUUGAAUGAGCCGAUGUCGGAUUAGUUAGUUGGCGGGGUAAAGGCCCACCAAGGCGACGAUCCGUAGCUGGUCUGAGAGGAUGAUCAGCCACACUGGAACUGAAACACGCUCCAGACUCCUACGGGAGGCAGCAGUGGGGAAUAUUGGACAAUGGGCGCAAGCCUGAUCCAGACAUACCGCGUGGGUGAAGAAGGCCUUCGGGUUGUAAAGCCCUUUUGUUGGGAAAAAAAAGCAGCAGGUUAAUACCCCGCUGUUCUGACGGUACCCAAAGAAUAAGCACCGGCUAACUUCGUG
Molecule: ribosomal RNA, 492 nt
Filed under: uncultured bacterium
Lineage: Bacteria
Description: partial 16S ribosomal RNA
Rfam family: Bacterial small subunit ribosomal RNA
Source: RNAcentral